GACAUUCAAAAAUCGCAUUAUCCUCCGUGGUCUUCUCUUUUGGCGGCUCGACGAGCGUUUUCUCGAAAGGGCUAUGCACGAACAAUCGGCUCGCGAGAGCGCUCCGCCACCACCAAUUUUUGCGCUGUUUCUCUUCUCUUCUGUCUCCGUCACGACUCUUCAAUUUGGCGGCGGCGUCGAUUGGAAACGAAUUGGUGA
Non-coding RNA from Caenorhabditis elegans, 198 nucleotides. The record is from Ensembl. NCBI's taxonomy places the organism in Eukaryota, Metazoa, Nematoda, Chromadorea, Rhabditida, Rhabditidae.